ACCACACAUGAGGAUUAUGCUAUUAGGACAGAAUGACAGAACAGAUUAUAUAACAAUAAAUUAUAUAACAACAGGCACAAAUUAUAUAACUAGAAAAUUACGCACUAAAAUAAAGGUUAGAAUGCAAAAGCACACACAGCAAUACAAAUGUGAAGGCUUUGGGCCAUAAAACAAAAACUCUUUCAUGUCUGGAUAUCUAAAAAUCCAGUUUGUCUAAGCUGAGGACCAUUGCAACUGAACUCUAGAAGUUCAAGAACUUACCUGGGCAAGUGUGUUGGUCUGCUUUCUAUUACUGUGACAAACAGUAUGAGAUUAAUCAGCUUAAAAAGAGGAAAGGCUUAUUUUAGAGGAAAUGUUCAUGAUCCGUUGGUUCCAGUGCUUUGGGCCUGUGGUGAAACAACAUAUCAUGCCAGGAAAUAAGAAGAAAGACAGAAAGAGACCAGCACCUCACAGUGCCCUUUAGGACAAAAUCUCAAUGACCUCAAAACUCCCUCUAGGGGCUAUCUCUUAAAGGUUCCACCACCACAUAAUGGCAUCAAACUAGGAACCCAACCUUUCACAGGUAGGCUUCUGAGGGCCACAUAUCCAAACAGCAGCAGCAUUCACUCAGGGCAGAAAGUUUAGUGUCUUUGUAAGCCAAAGGUGCCCAAUAAUUGCUGUGGCUGAAUUUGCUUGUCUCCCACAGCCAUUCAGAAUCCCACCCUGCCUCCCACUCCUCCACCUGCCUGAUAUAUUGUAAGCCACUUCAAAUCUUGGAAGCAGCCAGAGUCUCAAUUAUAAAUGUCAAAUAACUCAACUGUAUUUCCAAUAAUAAGAGUAUCUAUUUUACCUAGGAAUCUUCUUUGCUUGCUUGGUAUCCCACUG
RNAcentral lists this long non-coding RNA (864 nucleotides) under Marmota monax (woodchuck). The record is from RNAcentral. Lineage: Eukaryota; Metazoa; Chordata; Mammalia; Rodentia; Sciuridae.